UACCGGCGGCUCGAGUGGUGGCCGCUAUUACUGGGUUUAAAGGGUCCGUAGCUUGAUAGACGGGUCCCUUGAGAAAUCCGGACGCUUAACGUCCGGGCGUUCAGGGGAAACUGUUUUUCUAGGGACCGGGAGAGGUGAGAGGUACUGCCGGGGUAGGAGUGAAAUCCUGUAAUCCCGGUGGGACGACCGAUGGCGAAGGCAUCUCACCAGAACGGCUCCGACAGUGAGGGACGAAAGCUGGGGGAGCAAA
Molecule: ribosomal RNA, 250 nt
Filed under: uncultured archaeon
Lineage: Archaea
Description: partial 16S ribosomal RNA
Rfam family: Archaeal small subunit ribosomal RNA
Source: RNAcentral